CCUGCCCACUGAAAAAAUUUUUUUAAAUGGCCGCAGUAAUUUGACUGUGCAAAGGUAGCAUAAUCAUUAGUUUUUUAAUUAAAAGCUUGUAUGAAUGGUUGGACAAAGUAAAUUCUGUCUUUAUUUAAAUAAAAUUAGAAUUUAAUUUUUAAGUUAAAAAGCUUAAAUAUAUAUAAAAGACGAGAAGACCCUAUAGAUCUUUAUAUUAUUAUAUUAUAAUUUUAAUAAAGAAUUUUUAAUUUUUUAUAUUAUAUAAUAUUUUAUUGGGGUAAUAAAAAGAUUAAAUUAAUUCUUUUUGAUAUUUUACAUUAAUUUAUGAAUUUUAAUGAUCCAAUUUUUUUGAUUAUAAGAUUAAGUUACCUUAGGGAUAACAGCGUAAUUUUUUUAGAGAGUUCAUAUCGAUAAAAAAGUUUGCGACCUCGAUGUUGGAUUAAAAAUUGUUUUAGGCGCAGAAGUUUAAAAAUUUGGUCUGUUCGACCAUUAAAUUUUUACAUGAUCUGAGUUCAGACCGGUGUAAGCCAGGUCGGUUUCUAUCUUUAUAAUUUUAUAAUAUUUUAGUACGAAAGGACCAAAUAUUUAAUAUAUUAAUAUUUAUAUUUUGAAUAUUAUUAAUA
This 614-nucleotide ribosomal RNA is filed under the name Papuadytes sp. MB040. RNAcentral's name for it is "partial 16S ribosomal RNA". The stretch from base 367 to 525 matches the Rfam family "Bacterial large subunit ribosomal RNA", at positions 2473 to 2632 of the family's 2925-position model. Lineage: Eukaryota; Metazoa; Arthropoda; Insecta; Coleoptera; Dytiscidae. The record is from RNAcentral.